Molecule: long non-coding RNA, 994 nt
Organism: Magnolia sinica
Lineage: Eukaryota; Viridiplantae; Streptophyta; Magnoliopsida; Magnoliales; Magnoliaceae
Exons: 4
Source: RefSeq, a predicted model, not a curated record
AGACAAGUCAAAUGUGAAAAGGAGGUUGGCUUUAGGACCUACAGUAAACGUGCAUCACUGGGACCUAUAGUAAACGUGCCACUGUGAAGAAAACACCAUAACUAGACAAUUUUAGUAGUUGGUGGGACCCACACAUUAGCAGGUGAAUGGUAAAUGGUACCUUUUAUUGUGGAUCACCCCUGGACCAAAGACUUGGUACCUUUUGUUAUUGUAAGUUCCAAAUUACUUUGUUUCUGUAUUGCGUCGGAGCUAUCCGGAUGUUGAGUGGGGGUCCCUGGAAGGUGAGAACCACUAUUAUGACCAUGAUGAAGCUGUCCAUUUCCUAUUGACAACAAUAUGGGUAGCCUGACCAUUUGAACAGGCCUGUGCUUAUGUAUUAUCUCGAAAUUGAUGAAGCAGAUCCGGAUGUGCAUCGGAGCUAUUUGGAUGUUGAGCAGGGGUCCCGGGAAGAUAUAUUGGAAGGACUUCUUAAAUUGCUAGGGAAUAGGGAAUGUGUUGACUGCAAAAGCAAGUAGGUAUCUUGGUUGAAUUGUGAUAACGAAUGAUCUUUUAUUGCAAAAGCUGGAGGACAAGGAGUAAGUAGUGGGCACAUGUCAGUUACGGAUACUUCACAAAAUGAGACAUUGGAGGUUGGACCUGGGAAUUUGAAGAUGUCCUUUUCAUCAACAUCUGGACAACUGAAACGUAUGACGAAUUAUAGAACAGGGGUGAAAGAUUUGGAUGUGGAACUUGAAAGUACUAAGCAGAAAAGUAAACAAAACCGGCAACAAGCCAUCUUAAUUGAAAGGGAAAGAGUUACUCAAAUGCAGUGGGAUAUGGAAGAACUUUGUAGGAAGUAUUUGGAGAUGGAGUCAAAGCUAAAGUUUGAACAUGUUCCUUUUUUGUAAUUCUUAUGAUAGGUUGAGCAAAGUGAAGUAUUGUUUAUUUAGAAAUGUGAAUGUGGGAUGUAUUGUAUGAUUUGAUUGCUAUUUGUAAUAACUGCAUCAUUUUUUUU